This 172-nucleotide ribosomal RNA is filed under the name Escherichia coli. RNAcentral's name for it is "partial 23S ribosomal RNA". It matches the Rfam family "Bacterial large subunit ribosomal RNA", at positions 2771 to 2925 of the family's 2925-position model. The record is from RNAcentral. Lineage: Bacteria; Pseudomonadati; Pseudomonadota; Gammaproteobacteria; Enterobacterales; Enterobacteriaceae.
CUGAAAGCAUCUAAGCACGAAACUUGCCCCGAGAUGAGUUCUCCCUGACUCCUUGAGAGUCCUGAAGGAACGUUGAAGACGACGACGUUGAUAGGCCGGGUGUGUAAGCGCAGCGAUGCGUUGAGCUAACCGGUACUAAUGAACCGUGAGGCUUAACCUUACAACGCCGAAG